CGUAGGGGCAAGCGUUGUCCGGAAUGAUUGGGCGUAAAGGGCGCGUAGGCGGCCUGGUAAGUCUGGAGUGAAAGUCCUGCUUUUAAGGUGGGAAUUGCUUUGGAUACUGCUGGGCUUGAGUGCAGGAGAGGUAAGUGGAAUUCCCGGUGUAGCGGUGAAAUGCGUAGAGAUCGGGAGGAACACCAGUGGCGAAGGCGACUUACUGGACUGUAACUGACGCUGAGGCGCGAAAGUGUGGGGAGCAAACAGGAUU
Molecule: ribosomal RNA, 253 nt
Filed under: uncultured bacterium
Lineage: Bacteria
Description: partial 16S ribosomal RNA
Rfam family: Bacterial small subunit ribosomal RNA
Source: RNAcentral